GGGGAGGUGGGUUGGAUGAUAUGCUUAGAGAGGGUAACUCAUUCUCAGCUUGCUUGGUUUCACCUUUGCCCUAGGCGUUUGUCUGAGGCCUCCUCCGUGCUCCAGUCUACCUGUGUGACGCAGGCUCUGAAGCUUGAAAUUGGCCACAGAGGGAGUAUUUACACCAUGGACAUUGCAAAUGCUAUAGUUCCAGAUCUGUAACCGAGGGAAGCACUGGGCACUCCAUCUUCCCCAGCUCACUCGGUCUUGCUCUUCAUCUCAGGAGCCUCACAGGACCAAAGGCUGAGAUAAUCCUAACUGUAUCACGCUGCCUCCUCUCCUUGUUUAUUUAAAAUAAUUAGGGGCACAGUUAGAGAGUAAGAUAGUACUAUGAGGAUUAGACAAGAAGUGACAGUCACCUGCCUGCCUCCUGACACCCUCCAAUGACCUAUCAUUCCUCAGAGGUAACCAGUUACACUUCUCUACUUCUUGAGAUGCUUACUUGUAUAUUUUGAUAACAUGCUUAUAUAGCAAUUUUUUCCCAUUUUCCAUUUUAUCUAUUGUUUGCCUACUAUAGAUUUAGAGAGUAUUCCAAUAACUUGAAAGUGAAAGUCACUCAGUCAUGUCUGACUCUUUGUGACCCUAUGGACUAUACAGCCCAUGGAAUUCUCCAGACCAGAACACUGCAGUGGGUAGCCUUUCCCUUCUCUAGGGGAUCUUCCCAACCCAGGGAUCAAACCCAGGUCUCCUGCACUGCAGGCAGCUUCUUUACCAGCUGAGCUGUCAGGGAAGCCCAUUACUAUAUCCUAGCGUCUCCAGUUCCUUUCCAUACAGUCGACUGAUGUAGUUAUACACCAGUUUUAGUUAGAUCAACAUUGGGGUUUUGUGUGUGUGUGAUUAACAGGUCUUUUGUUGGUAGUAAACUAGAGCAAACAAUCAGAAUUGUGUAUGUGUGGUAUUCAGUACACAUAAUAAAAUUAAAGAAAUUAAAAACUUGUAUAAAACAAAACACUGGAGAAAAAAUAUCAUACAGCUCAAGAGAUACUCAAGUGUGAAAGUCCUCUUCAUCCUUCACAGCUUGUGCUCUGUACCCAAUAGAACUUGUCACACUCACCAAAAUAAUACAG
Molecule: long non-coding RNA, 1106 nt
Filed under: Capra hircus (goat)
Lineage: Eukaryota; Metazoa; Chordata; Mammalia; Artiodactyla; Bovidae
Description: lncRNA (ENSCHIG00000000598.1)
Source: RNAcentral